UAGGGAAUCUUCCACAAUGGACGAAAGUCUGAUGGAGCAACGCCGCGUGAGUGAAGAAGGGUUUCGGCUCGUAAAACUCUGUUGUUAAAGAAGAACAUAUCUGAGAGUAACUGUUCAGGUAUUGACGGUUAUUUAACCAGAAAGCCACGGCUAACUACGUGCCAG
RNAcentral lists this ribosomal RNA (165 nucleotides) under uncultured bacterium. RNAcentral describes it as "partial 16S rRNA". It matches the Rfam family "Bacterial small subunit ribosomal RNA", at positions 355 to 511 of the family's 1533-position model. The record is from RNAcentral.